AUGGCUGCGGCCGCGCUCGGCCCCGCCCCCCAGCCUCUCUCCCAGGGCCGCUCGCUAUUGGCUCGCACCCGAAGCCGCGCACGCGGACUGGGCAGCCUGAAAGACUGUUGCUAGGGCGCCGGGAUUCGCUUCGGGCGGCUUCCUGAAUGGGCAAGGGGCGGGGAAGAGGCGGGGCAUUGUCCUGGGUGAGGAGGGUGGCCAGUCUGUUCUGUGGUUGAAGUAACUGAUGGGCUGUGUGCCAGUGGGUCGAUUGCAGGAUGCCUAGGAUAAGGCUAAACUCCAGAAAUAUUUGCAGAUUUGUUUGCCUUAAAGAAGAUGCAUAUUGGUCAGUGCUGACCCCUCUGAAGGAAUUUUACUACAAGACUUUGCUCUUAUACAACAAGCUUUAAAAUAUUGGGGAGUGGUUGUUGCUCCAGAAAAGAUUCAAAGACAAUAUCCUUUUCAAUAUUUGGGACAUCAGUUAUAUC
Molecule: long non-coding RNA, 467 nt
Organism: Mastomys coucha (southern multimammate mouse)
Lineage: Eukaryota; Metazoa; Chordata; Mammalia; Rodentia; Muridae
Exons: 3
Source: RefSeq, a predicted model, not a curated record